This 461-nucleotide ribosomal RNA is filed under the name Zachria flavicoma. RNAcentral's name for it is "partial 16S ribosomal RNA". It matches the Rfam family "Archaeal large subunit ribosomal RNA", at positions 1904 to 2680 of the family's 2987-position model. The record is from RNAcentral. Lineage: Eukaryota; Metazoa; Arthropoda; Arachnida; Araneae; Sparassidae.
AAAAACAUAUUUAAUAGACUUUAUUAUUAAUACAUCCUGCUCAAUGAAAUUUAAAUAGCCGCAGUUCAUACUGUGCUAAGGUAGCAUAAUCAUUUGUCUUUUAAUUAAAGACUAGAAUGAAAGGAUAAACAUUUAAAUCAUUAUUAAAACAAUCACUUUUUAAUCUAUUUUAAAUGUAAAAACACAUUUAUAAAAAAGAUAGACGAAAAGACCCUAUUGAACUUUACUAUUGUUUAACUGGGGCAGUUAAUCAAUAAUCAUUUUAAUACUUUUAUUUUUAAAAAAUGACCCAAUAUAAUUGAUAACAUGACCAAGUUACCAUAGGGAUAACAGCGUAAUAUUUUUCUAUAGCUCUUAUAUAAAAAAAUGAUUGCGACCUCGAUGUUGAAUUAAUUAUUCUAAUAGAUGCAACAAUUUAAAAAGAAAGUCUGUUCRACUUGUAAUAAAUUACAUGAUCUGAG